GUCCACGCCCUAACGAUGCGAACUGGACGUUGGGAGCAAUUAGGCUCUCAGUGUCGAAGCUAACGCGUUAAGUUCGCCGCCUGGGGAGUACGGUCGCAAGACUGAACUCAAAGGAAUUGACGGGGCCCGCACAAGCGGUGGAGUAUGUGGUUUAAUUCGAUGCAACGCGAAGAACCUUACCUGGCCUUGACAUCCACGGAAGUCUGCAGAGAUGCGGAUGUGCCUUCGGGAACCGUGAGACAGGUGCUGCAUGGCUGUCGU
RNAcentral lists this ribosomal RNA (261 nucleotides) under uncultured bacterium. RNAcentral describes it as "partial 16S ribosomal RNA". It matches the Rfam family "Bacterial small subunit ribosomal RNA", at positions 793 to 1055 of the family's 1533-position model. The record is from RNAcentral.